This 750-nucleotide ribosomal RNA is filed under the name uncultured bacterium. RNAcentral describes it as "bacterial SSU rRNA". It matches the Rfam family "Bacterial small subunit ribosomal RNA", at positions 43 to 784 of the family's 1533-position model. The record is from RNAcentral.
CAGGCCUAACACAUGCAAGUCGAGCGGUAACAGGACUAGCUUGCUAGUUGCUGACGAGCGGCGGACGGGUGCGUAACACGUAGGAAUCUGCCUAGUAGUGGGGGAUAGCCCGGAGAAAUUCGGAUUAAUACCGCAUACGCCCUAAGGGGGAAAGCAGGGGAUCUUCGGACCUUGCGCUAUUGGAUGAGCCUGCGUCGGAUUAGCUAGUUGGUGGGGUAAAGGCCUACCAAGGCGACGAUCCGUAGCUGGUCUGAGAGGAUGAUCAGCCACACUGGGACUGAGACACGGCCCAGACUCCUACGGGAGGCAGCAGUGGGGAAUAUUGCACAAUGGGCGCAAGCCUGAUGCAGCCAUGCCGCGUGUGUGAAGAAGGCUCUAGGGUUGUAAAGCACUUUCAGCGAGGAGGAAAGGUGACAGAUUAAUACUCUGUUGCUGUGACGUUACUCGCAGAAGAAGCACCGGCUAACUCCGUGCCAGCAGCCGCGGUAAUACGGAGGGUGCGAGCGUUAAUCGGAAUUACUGGGCGUAAAGCGUGCGUAGGCGGCUAUUUAAGUUGGAUGUGAAAGCCCUGAGCUCAACCUGGGAACUGCAUCCAAAACUGGGUAGCUAGAGUGCGGAAGAGGAGUGUGGAAUUUCCUGUGUAGCGGUGAAAUGCGUAGAUAUAGGAAGGGACACCAGUGGCGAAGGCGACACUCUGGUCUGACACUGACGCUGAGGUACGAAAGCGUGGGGAGCAAACAGGAUUAGAUA